This 316-nucleotide ribosomal RNA is filed under the name uncultured soil bacterium. Its description in RNAcentral is "bacterial SSU rRNA". It matches the Rfam family "Bacterial small subunit ribosomal RNA", at positions 26 to 370 of the family's 1533-position model. The record is from RNAcentral.
AGAACGAACGCUGGCGGCAUGCCUAACACAUGCAAGUCGAACGAGACCUUCGGGUCUAGUGGCGCACGGGUGCGUAACGCGUGGGAAUCUGCCCUUAGGUUCGGAAUAACAGUUAGAAAUGACUGCUAAUACCGGAUAAUGUCUUCGGACCAAAGAUUUAUGCCUAAGGAUGAGCCCGCGUAAGAUUAGCUUGUUGGUGAGGUAAAGGCUCACCAAGGCGACGAUCUUUAGCUGGUCUGAGAGGAUGAUCAGCCACACUGGGACUGAGACACGGCCCAGACCUCCGUACGGGAGCAGCAGUGGGGAAUAGUUGGAC